Medicago truncatula (barrel medic) is the source of this 373-nucleotide RNA transcript. RefSeq lists it as uncharacterized. The transcript has 2 exons. The record is from RefSeq and is a predicted model, not a curated record. NCBI's taxonomy places the organism in Eukaryota, Viridiplantae, Streptophyta, Magnoliopsida, Fabales, Fabaceae.
AAUUUGGAUGCCCUUACAUUGAGCUCACUUCUCAAUUUGAAUCAAAUUUGGGAUGACAAUCAUCAAUCAAUGUGCAACUUGACUAGCUUGAUUGUGGAUAAUUGUGUUGGAUUGAAGUAUUUAUUCUCCUCUACUUUGGUUGAAAGUUUUAUGAACCUCAAACACCUUGAAAUAAGUAACUGUCAUAUGAUGGAGGAGAUAAUAGCUAAAAAUGACGGAAACAAUGCACUGAAAGAGGUUCAUUUUUUGAAAUUAGAGAAAAUCAUACUGAAGGAUAUGGACAACUUGAAGACAAUAUGGCAUCACCAAUUUGAAACAUCGAAGAUGUUGGAAGUGAACAAUUGUAAGAAAAUUGUGGUGGUUUUUCCAUCUU